This 539-nucleotide ribosomal RNA is filed under the name Mystrium sp. MG01. RNAcentral's name for it is "partial 28S ribosomal RNA". The record is from RNAcentral. Lineage: Eukaryota; Metazoa; Arthropoda; Insecta; Hymenoptera; Formicidae.
AAGUACCGUGAAGGAAAGUUGAAAAGAACUUUGAAGAUAAAGUUCAGGAGUACGUGAAACCGUUCAGGGGUAAACCUAAGAAACCCAAAAGAUCGAACGGGGAGAUUCAUCGUCAGCGGCGUUGGCUUCGCGUCGAGAGAGUGGSNAUGGUGGGCGAUGUCCCGCGAGCUCGCUCGCGGGAACGCUACCGUGCGCACACGUCCGACGUUGUCSUCNUGCACUUCUCCCCUAGUAGGACGUCGCGACUCUCUGGGUGUCSGUCNACSGCCCGAGUGUGGNGUCUGUCGCGUCGCCGGUAAAACGGCASGCGGCAAACCCUCUGUCNCCUGGCCGGCUGCCCGGUGKUACUCGCAAGGUAUCAGGACGCGAAGUGCUCUUCGCGUCAAGCCCAUCGCAAGCGCGCGCCACGGCACCCGGAAGUACGGACCUAGCGCCGUCCCCGGUCCUGAUCCGCUGUUGGCAGAACGGUGACUCUUUCANAGGCCUUAACCAGGGACGGGCUGUGCCUAGCGCGCCGUUCCACUCGGUACCGGUCGGCA